This 2755-nucleotide long non-coding RNA is filed under the name Equus caballus (horse). RNAcentral describes it as "lncRNA (ENSECAG00000052102.1)". Lineage: Eukaryota; Metazoa; Chordata; Mammalia; Perissodactyla; Equidae. The record is from RNAcentral.
GCCAGAACCCCCUCAGGUCACAAAGAGGCUCUGACUGUGGCUCCAGAACACACGCCCUCUCAGUCACUCCACCACUUCACUGUGUGGUCUUGGAUACCUAAUUUAACCUCUUAGGGUCUCAUUUUUCUCCUCUGUGAUCUCUAAAAUUUUACAACUCUAAUGGUGUGGACUUCCUGGCCAAGCAUAUGAUUUUACAGGAAGGUGCAGCGCAGAAACAUUAAGUGAUUUGCCCUCGGUCACCCAGCUUGCUAAUGGCAGAACCAGCACAGGAACCCAGACCCAGUGAUCUGCUCUCCCCUGCCCCCCCAGGCAAGACCUCCUUCCCCUCUACCUCACUUGGCAGGUGUUUCUAGAGGGAUCCAACUCCUUGCUUUAGAGGAGAUCUGUUCUAUGACUUCAGAUAGCUAGAUAGAUGGGAGAGGUUGGGUUUGGGUGUGGCCAAUGACGACACUGAAGAUGACUGUAGGAGGCUGGUGAUAUUUGUCUAAGUACCUUUGACCUAUCUGUCUGUCUACUGGCUGCUAUCUUUUUCAGGUCAAGAGUGGUGAUCAAAACCAUGCAGUAACCACAGGGAAAGAGCAUGGUGAUACCACGGCUGGUGUGGCACAUACAUACAGUUGUUUGUCCUCAAAAAGCCAAUGUUACCACGUUGUGCUGGCUCUCUCAGCCAGCUUCCUCCUGGUGACAGUGGUCAAAAGCCUGCUCCUCUCUCCCCCUUCUCUUGUCAUUUGCUCCCCCUGCCCCAGGAUCUGAUCACUAACUGGUGUGUGAUGAGUGUCCCUUGGGAGGAGGCAAGGUCCAAGAGGCUCCCAGCUGUGCUCUGGUAAUCAGAAGCAGAUGCUCAGCAUCUCUUGCUCCUUGAGCAGCUCCCAGAAGAGAGACAAAAGCCUCUUGAAGGGGACCCUCGCUUAGGGUAAUGGGAAUCCUUUUCCCUUUUGCUCAUUUGUGUCACAUUCUUCCAUUGGGCUGGGCAACUGACAGGUGCACCCCUCCCCGGGCCCCUUUCAGAGUGCCCUCCCUGCCAUUUGUCUCUUACCCAGAUAUCCAACAGACACCAUCAUCGGCAGGAGCCGAAUAUGAUUAGCAGAAACCCUUCCUGACAGCUCCAAAGAGAAUCCCACAAAUGCAUAUUCUAUUGAGUGCAUCUCAUUGCUGCUGACAGCCGCUUUAUCAAUUAAAUUCCACAUUCCCAGUCUUCGGAGAUGCCAUGAACCUCCCUACCUAAUAAAUCACAGGCCCCCAGUUAUUGUUAAAUGUCCCAUCAGUCUCUAAUAAACUCCCUGCCAACAGGGGUAGGUUAUUUAUUAUGCUGCCUGGACAAGAAUGAAUGGGGCCCCGUUCUCACAAGGAGAAGAGCAAACGUACCGCCUUCCUCCCUGAAGACUGAGGCUGUGGUAUUAAAUGGGGCAAUUAAUCAACACGGGCCUUGGGCAGCGGGGAGUCUGGCCCACAGUGAGGGAGGAUGGCCUGCGGUUCUUUACCGAAAGCCAGCCAGGCAAAUCUCCACGGCAGGAGGUGGCAGUGCAGGGUGCAGGGGCCCGGACCUUUGCUGCAUCUCCCCCUCUCCUAAUUCCUGUCUGAAAAGGUACCAAAGAUGUAGUCACCCCAUAGGUCAUGAGGCACGUGUAAAAAGUUAUUCUCCAUGUUGGGAAGUAGCCACGUAGGAUUGAGCAGGGUCACGAAACAAUAACUUCUGUCCAGAAGGCCAGAUAUUAUCACUUGAUAAACUUGAUAUAACUUAAGUUUAUUGAUGGUGCUAGUCCACUGAGCAGAUGAACUGAAGAAUACAGAUGGGAAAGAGAACUAGGAAGCAUGUGCUCAGUCCCUGUUCGCUGGAUAAAUAGUACAUGGUAAGCACUGGCCCAUGGAAAGCGGUGCAUCAACACUUAAAGGAGCCAGGAGCUAUGAGUGCAAGAAACAGUGUGUAAGUUGGGCCUUGCUGUUACCUGCCACAAAUUAGAUCCCAAACUUAGAUGAUGCUUCAUGGUCUGCAAGUUAAAACCCGAACUCCUCACCUUUGCCGUUAAUCAAGCCCCAAUCUACAUUUCCAACUGAAUUUCUCUAUUUCUCUUUAUUGCUACCUAACUACCCCCUUUGGGAGAGCAUGACACCUUCACUUUAUAUUCCUUAUGGUGGCAGGCAAGGUCUUCCAUAGUGGGACCAAUAUAUCCCUGCAGCCUCUUUCCUGGUAAUUGCUGCCAUACUUGCCUCCGUUCACAGUAAAGCUCAUACCUUCCCUAAACUACUGCGGUUUCUCAGGCUUCCACGCCUUUGCACAAACUGUUCCUUUUGCCCAGAAUAUCUUUCUAGCUUGUCUGCCUGGGGAGCUCUCCUUCCACCCCCACUGCCUGAUGAAUUCCUUAUCUAUGCUUCAGGAUCAGCUCACAAAAUCAGCCCCUCAGUGCUUCCCUGGACCUGAGGUUUGUCUCCUGAUGCUGCUGUCUUGGCAGAAGUGCUGGACUCCAGGGACUAGCAAAACGCAUCUUCAGGACCCCUCUCCCAUGGGAUUACCAUGCCAGAGAGCCUCCCACAUGUGGAUCUUCACCCUGUACGUGUGCGGCGCGCGAAGGGGGUGAGAGAGAACGACCAGCAUUAUGAUAGAAGGACAAGGUGAAACUUGGGGCUGGAUUCAGAGUCUCUCUAGGUUUGGAAUUGUGAAUAAGAUUAGGUUCCAGACACACUUAAAUUUGGAAUUAUGACUAAGACUUUGUUAUAGGAGCUCAUUUAUUCAAUAAAUAUCGAGCACUUAGUAUUU